RNAcentral lists this non-coding RNA (21 nucleotides) under Arabidopsis thaliana (thale cress). The record is from RNAcentral. Lineage: Eukaryota; Viridiplantae; Streptophyta; Magnoliopsida; Brassicales; Brassicaceae.
UGCACCUUCGCCGGCGUCGGG